RNAcentral lists this ribosomal RNA (443 nucleotides) under uncultured bacterium. RNAcentral describes it as "partial 16S ribosomal RNA". It matches the Rfam family "Bacterial small subunit ribosomal RNA", at positions 338 to 795 of the family's 1533-position model. The record is from RNAcentral.
CCUACGGGUGGCAGCAGUGGGGAAUAUUGGGCAAUGGGCGCAAGCCUGACCCAGCAACGCCGCGUGAAGGAAGAAGGCUUUCGGGUUGUAAACUUCUUUUCUCAGGGACGAAGAAAGUGACGGUACCCGAGGAAUAAGCCACGGCUAACUACGUGCCAGCAGCCGCGGUAAUACGUAGGUGGCAAGCGUUAUCCGGAUUUACUGGGUGUAAAGGGCGUGUAGGCGGGACGGGAAGUCAGAUGUGAAAACCACGGGCUCAACCUGUGGCCUGCAUUUGAAACUGUAGUGCUAGAGUACAGGAGAGGCAGGCGGAAUUCCUAGUGUAGCGGUGAAAUGCGUAGAUAUUAGGAGGAACACCAGUGGCGAAGGCGGUUUGCUGGACAGCAACUGACGCUGAGGCGCGAAAGCGUGGGGAGCAAACAGGAUUAGAUACACCAGUAGUC